This 592-nucleotide ribosomal RNA is filed under the name uncultured bacterium. Its description in RNAcentral is "bacterial SSU rRNA". It matches the Rfam family "Bacterial small subunit ribosomal RNA", at positions 56 to 650 of the family's 1533-position model. The record is from RNAcentral.
UGCAGUCGAGCGGGAAUUUCUUUUGGGAGAUGAGAGCGGCGCACGGGUGAGUAACGCGUAUGCAACCUGCCCCGGACAGGGGGAUAGCCCGGAGAAAUCCGGAUUAAUACCCCAUAAGAUUAAGGAACCGCAUGGUUUCAUAAUCAAAGCUCAGGCGGUUCGGGAUGGGCAUGCGUGACAUUAGCUGGUUGGUGAGGUAACGGCUCACCAAGGCUGUGAUGUCUAGGGGUUCUGAGAGGAAGAUCCCCCACACUGGUACUGAGAGACGGACCAGACUCCUACGGGAGGCAGCAGUGAGGAAUAUUGGUCAAUGGGCGCAAGCCUGAACCAGCCAUCCCGCGUGAAGGAAGACGGCCCUACGGGUUGUAAACUUCUUUUAUACACGAAGAAUAGUACCUACGUGUAGGUGCAUGCCGGUAGUGUAUGAAUAAGCAUCGGCUAACUCCGUGCCAGCAGCCGCGGUAAUACGGAGGAUGCGAGCGUUAUCCGGAUUUAUUGGGUUUAAAGGGUACGUAGGUUGGCCGUUAAGUCAGUGGUGAAAACCUGUUGCUCAACAAUAGGCGUGCCAAUGAUACUGACGGUCUUGAGUACA